AAGUCGUAACAAGGUCUCCGUUGGUGAACCAGCGGAGGGAUCAUUACCGAGUUUACAAACUCCCAAACCCCAGUGUGAACGCUACCGAACCGUUGCCUCGGCGGGACUUCUGCCCCGGGCGCGUCGCAGCCCCGGACCAAGGCGCCCGCCGGAGGACCGAAGAAACUCUCAUGCAUAUCCCGCCGCGGAUUCUCUCGAAAAAACGAUCUGAGCCUUUCCGGGCGCUCCCAGCGAGCCGCCCGAAAAUGAAUCAAAACUUUCAACAACGGAUCUCUUGGUUCUG
RNAcentral lists this unclassified non-coding RNA (283 nucleotides) under air metagenome. Its description in RNAcentral is "partial contains small subunit ribosomal RNA, internal transcribed spacer 1, and 5.8S ribosomal RNA". The stretch from base 1 to 46 matches the Rfam family "Eukaryotic small subunit ribosomal RNA", at positions 1786 to 1831 of the family's 1831-position model. The record is from RNAcentral.